UAUUUAUUAUAAUUUCACAGGAAAAAAAAAACUUCAGCAGUAAGCGCCCCAACGACACCUCGUUGAGAAACUUUCAAUCUGCUGUCAUGUAUCAACUUUGUCUCUAUUCAAAAGUUAUAAUUCUUCUUUCCACGAUUCUUUCUUUUUUUUUAAAUUUUUAAUAUGAAAAAAUAUCUAACAAAUUUUUGGAUGAAAACAAAACUAUUAAAAAAUAUCUUAA
RNAcentral lists this long non-coding RNA (220 nucleotides) under Ananas comosus (pineapple). Its description in RNAcentral is "long non-coding RNA (ACOM_LNC018816)". Lineage: Eukaryota; Viridiplantae; Streptophyta; Magnoliopsida; Poales; Bromeliaceae. The record is from RNAcentral.